RNAcentral lists this ribosomal RNA (578 nucleotides) under uncultured bacterium. RNAcentral describes it as "bacterial SSU rRNA". It matches the Rfam family "Bacterial small subunit ribosomal RNA", at positions 338 to 916 of the family's 1533-position model. The record is from RNAcentral.
CCUACGGGAGGCAGCAGUGAGGAAUAUUGGUCAAUGGAGGCAACUCUGAACCAGCCAUGCCGCGUGCAGGAAGACGGUCCUAUGGAUUGUAAACUGCUUUUAUUUAGGAAUAAACCCCCGGUCGUGCACCGGGCUGAAUGUACUAAAAGAAUAAGCACCGGCUAACUCCGUGCCAGCAGCCGCGGUAAUACGGAGGGUGCAAGCGUUAUCCGGAAUCAUUGGGUUUAAAGGGUCCGCAGGCGGGUAAAUAAGUCAGAGGUGAAAUCCGGCAGCUCAACUGUCGCACUGCCUUUGAUACUGUUUAUCUUGAAUUUUAGUGGAGUGGGCGGAAUAUGUCAUGUAGCGGUGAAAUGCUUAGAUAUGACGUGGAACACCGAUAGCGAAGGCAGCUCACUAACUAUGAAUUGACGCUCAUGGACGAAAGCGUGGGUAGCAAACAGGAUUAGAUACCCUGGUAGUCCACGCCGUAAACGAUGAUUACUCGUUGUUGGGUCUUCGGACUCAGUGACUAAGCGAAAGUGAUAAGUAAUCCACCUGGGGAGUACGAUCGCAAGGUUGAAACUCAAAUGAAUUGACGG